GACGAACGCUGGCGGCGUGCUUAACACAUGCAAGUCGAACGGAAAGGCCCUGCUUGCAGGGUGCUCGAGUGGCGAACGGGUGAGUAACACGUGGGUGAUCUGCCCCUUACUUUGGGAUAAGCCUGGGAAACUGGGUCUAAUACUGGAUAGGACCAUGCUGUAGGUGGUGUGGUGGAAAGAUUAGUUUCGGUAAGGGAUGAGCUCGCGGCCUAUCAGCUUGUUGGUGGGGUAAUGGCCUACCAAGGCGUCGACGGGUAGCCGGCCUGAGAGGGUGGACGGCCACAUUGGGACUGAGAUACGGCCCAGACUCCUGCGGGAGGCAGCAGUGGGGAAUAUUGCACAAUGGGCGCAAGCCUGAUGCAGCGACGCCGCGUGGGGGAUGACGGCCUUCGGGUUGUAAACUCCUUUCGGCCAUGACGAAGCCCUUGUGGUGACGGUAGUGGUAGAAGAAGCACCGGCUAACUACGUG
This 469-nucleotide ribosomal RNA is filed under the name uncultured bacterium. RNAcentral's name for it is "partial 16S ribosomal RNA". It matches the Rfam family "Bacterial small subunit ribosomal RNA", at positions 28 to 507 of the family's 1533-position model. The record is from RNAcentral.